GGAGUUUGGGCCGUGUCUCAGUCCCAAUGUGGCCGUUCACCCUCUCAGGCCGGCUACUGAUCGUCGCCUUGGUGGGCCGUUACCUCACCAACUAGCUAAUCAGACGCGGGUCCAUCUUACACCACCGGAGUUUUUCACACUGUAUCAUGCGAUACUGUGCGCUUAUGCGGUAUUAGCAGUCAUUUCUAACUGUUAUCCCCCUGUGUAAGGCAGGUUACCCACGCGUUACUCACCCGUCCGCCACUAAGACAUCUCAAGAAAAGAAUGAAUUCAAUUCAGCGAGAAGUCUUCGUUCGACUUGCAUGUAUUAAGCACGCCGCCAGCGUUCAUC
RNAcentral lists this ribosomal RNA (331 nucleotides) under uncultured Lachnospiraceae bacterium. RNAcentral describes it as "partial 16S ribosomal RNA". Lineage: Bacteria; Bacillati; Bacillota; Clostridia; Lachnospirales; Lachnospiraceae. The record is from RNAcentral.